Molecule: ribosomal RNA, 253 nt
Filed under: uncultured bacterium
Lineage: Bacteria
Description: partial 16S ribosomal RNA
Rfam family: Bacterial small subunit ribosomal RNA
Source: RNAcentral
UACGGGGGGGGUAAGCGUUGUUCGGAAUUACUGGGCGUAAAGGGCUCGUAGGCGGCCAACUAAGUCAGUCGUGAAAUCCCUCAGCUUAACUGGGGAACUGCGUCUGAUACUGGAUGGCUUGGAUUCGGGAGAGGAAUGCGGAAUUCCAGGUGUAGCGGUGAAAUGCGUAGAUAUCUGGAGGAACACCGGUGGCGAAGGCGGCGUCCUGGACCAACACUGACACUGAGGAGCGAAAGCUAGGGGAGCAAACGGG